UGCAGGUUUGAUAGCUAACCAUUCAUUAUUGAAAAUAUAACUGCUGUGUGACAAUUAGGUCAAAAAACUAUAUUUUAUUUUUUGGUAUAGAUGGCCAAGGAAGUUGCACAGAACUUCCCCUCCCAAAUUGAUAUAGAACCUUCACAAAAGCACAUGGAGCAACUGUGAAACUAAAUGGCUGAGGAUAUACUAAAAAUGUCUGGUAUGUAAUGACAUUUGAAUUCAAAGUAAAUGUAAAUUCUUAAUUUGUAUGUAGUUGUGUGGGACAGCCAUAUGUUCAGUUCAUGCCUAUGAUUUGAGUUCAACAAAGCCAACACCUGCUUCUUGUGUGUCACCGAUAAAGAACCUGGAUGUGGCCCAGACUGACUGGGUUAGUAACUUUAUUUAACACGUUUAUAAUCUUUUGACAACAGUGACGGCAUGUAAGACCAUUUUUGAUAACACAAUGGAUGGCUAAUUCGUCAUACGUUAUAAAUAAUAUCAAUGCAGUGUUACGCUUUGUUUUAGAUUUGAUGUUUUGCAUGCCAAGUGGUUCAAUGUGCUGUCCCUAGGACUGAAGACAAGAGUUCAGAGUGAAGAACACAAACUGGAAGUGCUGUCUUUGUUGUUGAAAAUGUAUGCUAUACCCCAUCCACACUGAAGAGGCUCUGAAAUGUACAUCAACCAGGGAUAAAGAGAAAGUCAACACUGAAAUGUUUCAUACUCAUUUGAAUGAAAGUGUCUGACAUUAUUAAAGGUCUACAAUUUCUGCUUAAUUUGUCAAUAUUACAUUUUUAUUCAUUGAUUUACUGGCCACCAUUACUGUGGUUACAUGUUCAGUAUAUGUAUUGACCAGCAAACCCACUGCAGCCUACUUCAAGCUCACUCUCCAUCCCUGCUUUGGACAAUUAAUAACAUGACUCUCGUACUUUGCCCUACUCCUACUUUAUCUGGUGACAACUGCAUGCAUGGCCAUCCUUGUAGAGUUUCCGAGCCUUGUUAUAUAUCUUAUGACACAAUAUUGUAUACUUGUAUAGAGCAGACAAACCCAGUAAUCUGUAAAAGUUUCACCAUGUUACAGGUGGUCCAAAAGCUGUCGAGACCCCUUCACAGAGAAACUGCCCAACAACAGAAAGCCUUUGUUGUGAGGCCAUUGCACUGAUGAAGCAAUUGUAAAGGAGAAGAUGAAGCAGAUGUUUGCUUAUCGCCAAAAGAUGGUUCAUGACCCAGUGAAGUCCUCUGAAAUAUUCACAGCAAUCCAAAGACAUAGCAGGAAUGAUUGAGCAAGAUUUUAGUGAUGCAACCUCUGCAAAGUUCCUGGAGAAGUGGCCUACUCUCUCCAAGCAGAAAGUUAUUGACCAAAGCCGUGGCCUCACAGAUAGGCGACCUGCAAGACCUGGUUCAAGAUGCUGAAUCCACAACAGAAGUGGAAUAUCGUAUGCUGGAAUAAAAGUAUUAUACUAAUGGAAGGGAGCAUUAUUUUUUAAAGCAAAAUGGUAUGAUGUAACUUGUGAAAAUUUAUACUUUCAGGAUGGGACAGUGACAUGUCCUCCAUUUUGGUCCUUGUCCACCUUAUACCACCGUCACCUCAUGGCCACAAGAGACCUGGAAAAAUAUCAGCCAGACACACCAGUAACCACAUUGUGAAGUUUAUCAAGACUGGAACCAGCAUCUGGAGAGCGCCAUGGAAAGCCUUCAACCCUAUCUGCUUGCUGUGGGGAUCCAGAGGAGUGUGAUUCACAAGUACUUCAUUGUGAUUGACAAACAUGCAAUACAUUGUAAGUCACCAGACUCUCUUGCCUGUUUUGAUGAGCUUUUCAAAGCUCACUUUGUCUUUGGUACCUCACAUCUCCCUCACUAGCUUUAAGCACCAGCUGUCAGAGCAGCUUACAGAUCACUGCACAUGUACAUAGCCCAUCUGUAAACAGCCCAUCUACCUACCUCAUCCCCAUACUGGUAUUUAUUUUGCUCCUUUGCACCCCAGUAUCUCUACCUGCACUUUCAUCUUAUGCCAAUCUACCAUGCCAGUGUUUAAUUGCUAUAUUGUAAUUACUUCGCCACCAUGGCCUAUUUAUUUCCUUAAACUUACCUAAUUUGCACUCACUGUA
Long non-coding RNA from Oncorhynchus kisutch (coho salmon), 2087 nucleotides. RefSeq lists it as uncharacterized. The record is from RefSeq and is a predicted model, not a curated record. Lineage: Eukaryota; Metazoa; Chordata; Actinopteri; Salmoniformes; Salmonidae. The transcript has 3 exons.